RNAcentral lists this long non-coding RNA (225 nucleotides) under Gossypium barbadense (sea-island cotton). RNAcentral's name for it is "long non-coding RNA (GBAR_LNC005725)". The record is from RNAcentral. Lineage: Eukaryota; Viridiplantae; Streptophyta; Magnoliopsida; Malvales; Malvaceae.
UAUUUCUUUUUAGGUGCUUCUGCACAUGAUUUAUGGAGAAAGAAUUCACAUUGUGAACAACAGUAAAAUAAAGUUGAGAUGGAUAACAUGCAACCAUCACAAACUUUAUGACCCUUAGAAUCAUUGCUUAGAACCAAGUUAUGCUGAUGGUUCAAAUGCUUUAUCUCUGAAGCUAUUACAAUGUCUUCUCCAAGUUUAGUCACUCUGAUAACAGCGAAGGCCGAC